Molecule: long non-coding RNA, 303 nt
Filed under: Physcomitrium patens
Lineage: Eukaryota; Viridiplantae; Streptophyta; Bryopsida; Funariales; Funariaceae
Description: long non-coding RNA (PPAT_LNC014911)
Source: RNAcentral
UUAAGAUACAAAAUCACUCUUACAUAAUUAUUACCUUUCAAUACUCUACAAUCUAUGUUAGAUCACAUUAACUAUUUUUAAUGUGAUACAUCAUCCAACUUAUCCACAAUCACAUUUAAUAUACUUCUAGUUACAACUCUAAACAUAUUCAUCUAGAUGUCAUUAUAAAAAUAUAAAUAACCACUCAAUAGUUGUAUAUUUUGUACUUUGAUUUCUUUUCUAAUCUAAAUUUGUCAAUGUGUAACUUAGUCCUAGUAUACUUUACUACCCUUAGGGACUUUUGAGAUACACCACCUCACAAAA